RNAcentral lists this ribosomal RNA (1926 nucleotides) under bioreactor sludge metagenome. RNAcentral's name for it is "bacterial LSU rRNA". It matches the Rfam family "Bacterial large subunit ribosomal RNA", at positions 3 to 1975 of the family's 2925-position model. The record is from RNAcentral.
UCAAGCGACUAAGCGCAUACGGUGGAUGCCUUGGCGGUCAGAGGCGAUGAAGGACGUGGCAGCCUGCGAGAAGCAUCGGGGAGUCGGCAGCAGACUUUGAUCCGGUGAUGUCCGAAUGGGGAAACCCACCGCGCAAGCGGUAUCCCAUCCUGAACACAUAGGGAUGGGAGGCGAACCCGGGGAACUGAAAUAUCUAAGUACCCGGAGGAAAAGAAAUCAACCGAGAUUCCCCCAGUAGUGACGAGCGAACGGGGAACAGCCCAAAAGUUGCAUCGGUUCUAGUCGAGCGGUCUGGAAAGGCCGGCCAUAGACGGUGAUAGCCCGGUAGGUUAAAGGGCCGAUGUGAUGAAAAGUGAGUAGGGCGGGGCACGUGAAACCCUGUCUGAACAUGGGGGGACCAUCCUCCAAGGCUAAAUACUACUGACCGACCGAUAGUGAACCAGUACCGUGAGGGAAAGGCGAAAAGAACCCCGGUGAGGGGAGUGAAAUAGACCCUGAAACCGUAUGCGUACAAGCAGUCCGAGCCCUUCGGGGUGAGGGCGUACCUUUUGUAUAAUGGGUCAGCGACUUACAUUCUGUGGCGAGCUUAACCGGCUAGGGUAGGCGAAGGGAAACCGAGUCUGAAUAGGGCGAAUAGUCGCAGGGUGUAGACCCGAAACCGAGCGAUCUAGCCAUGUCCAGGGUGAAGGUGCGGUAACACGCACUGGAGGCCCGAACCCACUCCCGUUGCAAAGGUAGGGGAUGAGAUGUGGCUAGGAGUGAAAGGCUAAUCAAGCUCGGAGAUAGCUGGUUCUCCUCGAAAGCUAUUUAGGUAGCGCCUCGCACGAAUCUUCCUGGGGGUAGAGCACUGUUAUGGCUAGGGGGUCAUGGCGACUUACCAAACCAUUGCAAACUCCGAAUACCAGGACAGACUAUGCGGGAGACACACGGCGGGUGCGAACGUCCGUCGUGAAAAGGGAAACAACCCAGACCCACAGCUAAGGCCCCCAAAUCGUGACUCAGUGGGAAACGAUGUGGGAAGGCACAGACAGCCAGGAGGUUGGCUUAGAAGCAGCCACCCUUUAAAGAAAGCGUAAUAGCUCACUGGUCGAGUCGGCCUGCGCGGAAGAUUUAACGGGGCUAAGUCACGUGCCGAAGCUUGGGGUGUGCACGUAUGUGUACGCGGUAGAGGAGCGUUCCGUACGCCUGCGAAGGUGGAUCGAGAGGUCUGCUGGAGGUAUCGGAAGUGCGAAUGCUGACAUGAGUAACGAUAAGGGGGGUGAAAAGCCUCCCCGCCGAAAGCCCAAGGUUUCCUAGCGCAACGUUAAUCGGCGCAGGGUGAGUCGGCCCCUAAGGCGAGGCAGAAAUGCGUAGUCGAUGGGAAGCGGGUUAAUAUUCCCGCACCUCACCAUGAUGCGAUGGGGGGACGGAGAAGGGUAGGUGUACCGGGCGUUGGUUGUCCCGGGGAAAGGCGGUAGGUGUGGAUCUCAGGCAAAUCCGGGGUCCUCUACACCGAGCACCGAGACCAGGGUCUAUAGACCUGAAGUCACUGAUCCCAUGCUUCCAGGAAAAGCCUCUAAGCUUCAGUCAUGGUGGGACCGUACCGUAAACCGACACAGGUAGGCAGGGUGAGAAUCCCAAGGCGCUUGAGAGAACUCGGGUGAAGGAACUAGGCAAAAUGGUACCGUAACUUCGGGAGAAGGUACGCCCCCUGGCGUGGUCACGUGCGUGACUGAGCGUUGGGGGGUCUCAGUGACCAGGCCGCUGCGACUGUUUAUCAAAAACACAGCACUCUGCAAACACUUAACGUGGACGUAUAGGGUGUGACGCCUGCCCGGUGCCGGAAGGUUAAUUGAUGGGGUUAGCGAAAGCGAAGCUCUUGAUCGAAGCCCCGGUAAACGGCGGCCGUAACUAUAACGGUCCUAAGGUAGCGAAAUUCCUUGUCGG